This is a long non-coding RNA of Sapajus apella (tufted capuchin), 1044 nucleotides long. RefSeq lists it as uncharacterized. NCBI's taxonomy places the organism in Eukaryota, Metazoa, Chordata, Mammalia, Primates, Cebidae. The transcript has 2 exons. The record is from RefSeq and is a predicted model, not a curated record.
AGGAGCAAAGGGGACUCGGCCGCCAUGUUAGGAGUACUGGGAAGAUUCCUCGGAGCCAGGCAGAGGUUUUAGGGGUGCUCGGGAGUUGCGUGGUGGUUCAGUAGGGAUGGUGAGGUGGAGGACGAGCUGGUCGGAUAGCUGCGGGCAUAAACCUGGGAACCUGAGGGUGGAGGCCGUGCUGGGGGUUGGUGUAGGGCGGGACUGACUAGAAGCGGUAUCCACAGGCCCAGUGAGCCUCGGUCUCAGUUCCUGAAGGUGUUUCCUGGGGCCCUACGCUUCCUUCUCAGUUUUUUAGCUAAGAGGUUGAAAGAGUCGGUUUACUUCUGGGCUUGGAGUAUCUUAGAUCGGUUAACAGUACAGUUGAGAGAGUUGGUGUUUUUGUUGAGGUGCGGGGACCAUAGGCGGCGACCCUCGCCUUUAUUCUGAGAAGCCCACUUACACCCACAGAGUUGUGCUCGUCCUCCCAAAUGCAUUUCUGUUUUGCCGUUUGUUUUCCAACCCUCCUUCCCUCUCCCCAAGAUUUCAGAUUCACUGAUUUGUCAUACAGGCAUGAUUAGCAAAGGCGUCCGAAGAAAUCGUUGUUGGAAGGUAGCCAAGCUGGAAAGACGUUGGUUUGGCCCUGCGACACAAUGCUGCAAAAUGACUGGUUCAUAAACCACUAAGCUGCCUUGGCAGCCACAUGUUAUUGUUACCAGUAAGUAGUAUGAUAUUUUAUUCUGCCUGUCACAUACACAGUAGGCAUUCAAUAACUGUUUAAUAGAUAAAUAGGUUGUUAAAUUAUAAGACCCUAAUGGAUUGCUUAGUCCUUUAACAAUGAACUUACAUGCCCCCCACUUACUCAAGUCUUUUGUGACAGAUUUUGCGCUAGCAAAGUGCAGUUUCAGAAAAUCAAGGAAAUACAACAUUUCUUGAUGAAAUCCUACCUUGCCUCAACAGGAGACUGAAUUGGAGUCCUCGAUUCUCAGUACAUAAGAACUAGUCUAUGAAAGCAUCAGGAGAGAGGAUCGUAGUAUUUGAGAAUAAAACAUUAUGUAUUGAUAGUUG